RNAcentral lists this long non-coding RNA (4020 nucleotides) under Sus scrofa (pig). Its description in RNAcentral is "lncRNA (ENSSSCG00035035384.1)". Lineage: Eukaryota; Metazoa; Chordata; Mammalia; Artiodactyla; Suidae. The record is from RNAcentral.
UAGAGUUUUUUAUGUGAUUGUAGUUAAGUUGUCAUCAGCUUAAAAUAGACUGUUGAAACUAUACAUUGAUUUAUGUAAGCUCUGUGGUAACUGCCCAUACCUAGAUUCACUCUAGAUUUAAGAACUGAAAGUGAAGGGAUGGAAAAAGAUAUUACAUGCAAAUAGUACCCUAAAGAUAGCAGGGGUAACUAUAUUUUUAUCAGAUGAAACAGAUUUUAAGUAAAAAACUGUCACAGGAGACAAGGAUAUUACAUAAUGAUAAAAGAGUUAAUUUGCUAGAAGGAAACAAUUAUAUAUUCAGCCAGCAUUAGAGCACUUAAGAGUAUAAACAUCAACAGAACAGAGAAACUGUUAAUCAAUACAAUAAUGAUAGGAGACUUUAAUACCUCAUCUUCAAUAAUGCAUAGAACAUUGAGACAGAAAAUCAGUAAGGAAGCAGCCAACUUGAACAACAUUAUAGAUCAAAUGGACAAACAGAACAUUCUACCCAACAGCAGCAAAACACACAUUCUUCUCAAGCACACAUGGAACACUCUCCAUGAUAGACCACAUGUUAGAUCACAAAACAACUCUUUAAAAAAUUAAGAAGAUUGAAAUCAUACAAAACAUCUUUUCUCAUCACAGUAGAGUAAAACUAGAAAAUAUUAGCAGAAGGAAAGAUGAAAAACUCACAAGGAUGUGGAAAUUAAAUAAUACACUCUUCAAUAACCAAUGGGUCAAGGAAGAAAUCAAAAGAGAAAUUAGAAAACAUCUCAAAGAGUUCCCUUUGUGGCUCCUUGACCAGGAACCAUAAGAUUGUGGGUUCGAUCCCUGGCCUUGCUCAGUGGGUUAAGGAUCUGGCAUUGCCUUGAGCUGUGGAUUAGGUUGCAGAUGCGACUUGGAUCCUGCAUUGCUGUGGCUGUGGCAUAGGCUGAAGCUGUAGCUCCAAUUGGACCCCAGCCUGGGAACUUCCAUAUGCUGCAGGUGCAGCCCUAAAAAAGUGAAAAAAAAAAGAAAGAAAGAAAAUAUCUCAAGACAAAUGAAAAAGAAAAUAUAGUAUGCCAAAAAUUAUGGGAUGCAUCAAACAAAGCACUAAUUAGUAAGUUUAUAGUGAUAAAUUAUAAAUACAUUAUAAAGGAAGAAAAACCUCAAAUAAACAACCUGAUUUUAUAUCUUACAAAGUGGGAAAAGAACAAUUUAAGCCCAAAUUUAGCAGAGGGGGAAAAAAUAAAAAUCAGGGCAUAAAUAAACAAAAUGGAGAAUAGAAAAACAAUGGAAAAAUUUACAAAAUUAAGUUAUUAUUUAAAAAUGUAAAUAACUCAGCCAUAAAAAAGAAUGAAAUAAUGCCAUUUGCAGCAACAUGGAUGGAACUAGAGACUCUCAUACUGAGUGAAGUAAGUCAGAAAGAGAAAGACAAAUACCAUAUGAUACCCCUUAUAUCUGGAGUCUAAUAUACGGCACAAAUGAACCCUUCCACGGAAAAGAAAAUCAUGGACUUGGAGAAUAGACUUGUAGUUGCCAAGGGGGCGGGGGGAGGAAGUGGGAUGGAUUGGGAGCUUGGGGUUAAUAGAUGCAAACUAUUGCUUUUGGAAUGGAUUAGCAAUGGGAUCCUGCUGUGUAGGUAGCACUGAGAACUAUGUCUAGUAACUUAUGAUGGAGCCUGAUAAUGUGAGAAAAAAGAAUGUAUACAUGUAUGUGUAACUGGGUCACCAUGCUAUACAGUAGAAAAAAAAUUGUAUUGGGGAAAUAACAAUAAAAAUUUUUAAAAAAUUAAAAUGUAAACAAAAUUUAUAAUCUUUUACCUAGACAAAGAAAAAAGAAGACUGAAAUAAAAUCACAAAUGAAAGAGUAGACUUUACAAUUCAUAGCAUAAAAUAAAAAUGAUCAUAAGAGAUCACUAUGAACUAUUAUGCACCAACAAAUUGGAUAAUCUAAAAGAAAUGACAAAUUACUAAAAAUAUGGAUCCUAUGAAGAUUAAAUCAUGAAGAAAUAGAAAAUAUAAACAAAUCUGUAACUGUUAGGAGUCUGUAAUCAAGAAUUUCCCAAAAAGCAAAGCCAGGUGACUUUAUUGGUAAAUUCUGCUAAACAUUUAACGAAGAAUUAACACCAAUCCUUCUCAGUCUCUUCCAAAAAAUUGGAGGGAACACUUCCAAAAUUAUUUUAUGAGGCCAGCAUUACCCUAGUAACGUAGUCAAACAAAGAUACUUCAAGAAAAUAAAACUGUAGGCCAAUAUACCUUAUGGACAUAGAUACAAUUAUUCUCAACAAAAUAUUAGCAAACCCAAUUCAGCAGUGCAUUCAAAGAAUCAUAUACCAUGAUCAUGUGGAAUUUAUCCCUGGGAUACAAGGAUGAUUCAACACAUGAAAAUCAGUUACUGUGAAACACCACAUUAGCAUAAUAAAGGAUAAAAAUCUUUUGAUGAUCUUAAUAGAUGCAGAAAAAACAUUUGAUGAAAUUCGGCACCCUUUCAUAGAGAAAACCCUCAACAAACUAGAAAUAUAAGGCUAACUCAACUAGAAAUAUAAAGGCCAUCCAUGGAAGCCCAUAGUUAACAUUAUACAAAAUGGUGAAAAACUGAAAGCCAUUCAUAGCAGAUCAGGAAGAAGGCAAGAAUGCUCACUCGGUCCAUGUCUGUCCAAAUAAUACUAGAAGCCCUAGCCAGGGCAAUUGGGCAAUAGAGAGAAAUAAAGGCAUCCAAAUAGAAAAGGAAGAAGCAAAAUUACCUCUGUUUGCAGAUGAUAUAUGGUCUUAUAUGUAGAAAAUCCUAGAUUUCACUAAAUGAUUAUUCAAACUAAUAAAUUAAUUAAGUAGAAUUUUAGGAUACAGUAUAGAUGUAUGGAAUAGCCAGAAGUUUAUGUCCCUUGAAAAUUUAUACAUUGUAAUUCUAAUCCCUCAAGAUGAUGGCAAUAGGAGGUAGGAACUUUGAGAGAUGAUUAGACUGUGAGGGUGGAGCCAUCAGGGAUGAUAUUAAUGCCCUUAUUAAAGGGACCCAAGAAAGAUUGUUUGCCCUUCUGCCAUGUGAAGACAGUGAAAAUUGGCUAUUUAUGAACCAGAAAGCAGAUCUUCAGCAGACACCAAAUCUCCCAGUGACUAUAUUGUGGGACUUCCUCUCCUCUAGAACUGUGAGAAAUACAUUUCUGUUGUUUAUAAGCUACUCAGUCUAUGGUAUUUUGUUAGAGCAGCCCCAAAGAACAACACACAAAAAUCAAUUGCAUCUCUAUACACUAACAAGGCUCUUUAAAAAGGAAAGUAAGAAAACAAUCCCAUUUACAAUAGCAGCAGAAAGAAUAAACAACAAAGAAUAAACUUAACUAAGGAGGUAAAAGACAUACACUGAAAACUGCAAAAGAUUGAUGGAAGAAAUUAAAGAAGACACAAAUAAAUGUGUUCAUGGAUUAGAAGACUUUAUAUUAUUAAAAUGUCCAUACUAUCCGAAGUGAUUUACAGAUUCAAAAUCCCAAUGGCAUUUUUUUUACAGAAGGAGAAAAGAAAUCCUGAAAUUUAUAAAGAACCCUAAAGGACGCCAAAUAACCAAAACAAUCUUGAGAAAGAACAAAGCUAGAGGUAUCACAUUUUCUGAUUUAAAAAUAUAUUUAAAAGUUAUAGUAAUUAAGACAGUAUGGUGUUAGAAAGACAAGCAUAUAGACCAGUGGAAAAGAAUGGAACACCUGGAAAUAAACCCAUGUGUAUAUGCUUGAUCUUCAACAAGGAUGUCAUGAAUACACAGUAGAGAAGGGAUGAUCUCUUUGACAAAACAUACUGGAAAAACUGAAUAUCCACAUGCAAAGAAAAUGAUAUUAGGAGUUCCCGUCAUGGCGCAGUGGUUAACGAAUCCGACUGGGAACCAUGAGGUUGCGGGUUCGGUCCCUGCCCUUGCUCAGUGGGUUAAGGAUCCGGCGUUGCCGUGAGCUGCGGUGUAGGUUGCAGACGCGGCUCGGAUCCCGCGUUGCUGUGGCUCUGGUGUAGGCCAGCGGCUACAGCUCCGAUUCGACCCCUAGCCUGGGAACCUCCAUAUGCCGCGGGAGCGGCCCAAAGAAAU